Molecule: long non-coding RNA, 1248 nt
Filed under: Oreochromis niloticus (Nile tilapia)
Lineage: Eukaryota; Metazoa; Chordata; Actinopteri; Cichliformes; Cichlidae
Description: lncRNA (ENSONIG00000036750.1)
Source: RNAcentral
UCCAAUAAUAAAUGCACCACUGUUUCAUUUUCUUCCAGUUACUUUAAAGCACUUAUUUUUUAUUCUAUAUAAUAUAAUAUAAUAUAAUAUAAUAUAAUAUAAUAUAAUAUAAUAUAAUAUAAUAAGAUAAGAUAAGAUAAGAUAACCUUUAUUAGUCCCACACGUGGGAAAUUUGUUUUGUCACAGCAGGAAGUGGACAGUGCAAAAGUUAUGAAGCAAAAAUUAGAAUAAAAUAAAAUAAGAAUAAAUACAGUACACAACUGUACAGAAUAGAAUAAAAUAAAAUACUAUAUACAGUAGAAUAAAAUAGAAUAAAAUAUACAAUGAGAUAAAAAUAGAGUACAAAUGCUAUAUACAACUGAGUAAAAAUACAACGAUGCCAGAAGAGAUUAUUGCACAUUAGUGUUAUUGCACAUUUGUGGAUGUGUGUGUUUGAUCAGUUAAAGUCUAUAUUGUGGAGUCUGACAGCAGUGGGGAGGAUAUGCCUUGCAGCUGGAGCUUCUGCUCUCAUUUGAUUCUAACUACACUACCCAUGAUGCCCUGCCCGUCCCGUUGCCAGGAUACGUGAGAAAUGGGACACAGCUGAGAUAGGCCCUAAUUUUGAAAAAUAAUCCCACGUGGUCUCGUUUUUCAGAUGAGUCACGUGACCGUUCAGCAACGAAUCACAGCAGAGCCCGGGAAAGGGGGCGGAGCAAGGUGUGUGUGUGUGUGUAGUAGAUGAGGCGAGCAUAGAGAGCUGCUUUUCAUAAAACGGGACUAAGUAGUAAACCUACAGGAACAUAUAGCACUACCAACGUUUGGAUCGAUAUCUGCAUCGAUCUGCACACCCUUGUCUCCUGGAUCCUAGCUGAGAUCAGCGUGAACCACGUGGGUCUCUCCCUGAUCUGUUUCCUGUGUUUGGAAAGACUUCCAGCUUCAUCACGGAGUUUCUCUCGGUUUGUGGGCUCAUUUAAAGGUAAGCACCGAGUUAACUUUAAUCUGGUGGAGCAGCAGAGGAACAAUUUCAGCCAUUUGGACUCAGCUCAGCCACUACAGAGGAAACAAUGACUUCAACACAAAAGGUAAGAAAAAUAUCACAGUUACAUUGUUAUUGAAAUUGUGUGCACAGCUAGUUGGUUUUUAAAAACCUAUUAACAGCAGCUUUAUCUUUUCCAUCCUGGGCUCCUCCAUACAUACACAAUUUACAUUCACAACCAAAAACCACAGAAUUACAAGAAAAUACAAAGAUCAUAUUUUCUCUACACACAU